Molecule: ribosomal RNA, 254 nt
Filed under: uncultured bacterium
Lineage: Bacteria
Description: partial 16S ribosomal RNA
Rfam family: Bacterial small subunit ribosomal RNA
Source: RNAcentral
UACGGGGGGAGCAAGCGUUGUUCGGAUUUACUGGGCGUAAAGGGCGCGUAGGCGGCCAGCACAAGUCAGUUGUGAAAUCUCCGAGCUUAACUCGGAAAGGUCAACUGAUACUGUGCGGCUAGAGUGCGGAAGGGGCAACUGGAAUUCUUGGUGUAGCGGUGAAAUGCGUAGAUAUCAAGAGGAACACCUGCGGCGAAGGCGGGUUGCUGGGCCGACACUGACGCUGAGGCGCGAAAGCUAGGGUAGCAAACGGG